RNAcentral lists this ribosomal RNA (468 nucleotides) under uncultured bacterium. RNAcentral describes it as "partial 16S ribosomal RNA". It matches the Rfam family "Bacterial small subunit ribosomal RNA", at positions 28 to 507 of the family's 1533-position model. The record is from RNAcentral.
GACGAACGCUGGCGGCGUGCUUAACACAUGCAAGUCGAACGGAAAGGCCCUGCUUUUGUGGGGUGCUCGAGUGGCGAACGGGUGAGUAACACGUGAGUAACCUGCCCUUGACUUUGGGAUAACUUCAGGAAACUGGGGCUAAUACCGGAUAGGAGCUCCUGCUGCAUGGUGGGGGUUGGAAAGUUUCGGCGGUUGGGGAUGGACUCGCGGCUUAUCAGCUUGUUGGUGGGGUAGUGGCUUACCACGGCUUUGACGGGUAGCCGGCCUGAGAGGGUGACCGGCCACAUUGGGACGGAGAUACGGCCCAGACUCCUACGGGAGGCAGCAGUGGGGAAUAUUGCACAAUGGGCGGAAGCCUGAUGCAGCAACGCCGCGUGCGGGAUGACGGCCUUCGGGUUGUAAACCGCUUUCGCCUGUGACGAAGCGUGAGUGACGGUAAUGGGUAAAGAAGCACCGGCUAACUACGUG